This 492-nucleotide ribosomal RNA is filed under the name uncultured bacterium. Its description in RNAcentral is "partial 16S ribosomal RNA". It matches the Rfam family "Bacterial small subunit ribosomal RNA", at positions 29 to 507 of the family's 1533-position model. The record is from RNAcentral.
AGUGAACGCUGGCGGUAGGCCUAACACAUGCAAGUCGAACGGCAGCACAGUAAGAGCUUGCUCUUACGGGUGGCGAGUGGCGGACGGGUGAGGAAUACAUCGGAAUCUACUUUUUCGUGGGGGAUAACGUAGGGAAACUUACGUUAAUACCGCAUACGACAUACGGGUGAAAGCAGGGGAUCUUCGGACCUUGCGCGAUUGAAUGAGCCGAUGUCGGAUUAGCUAGUUGGCGGGGUAAAGGCCCACCAAGGCGACGAUCCGUAGCUGGUCUGAGAGGAUGAUCAGGCACACUGGAACUGAGACACGGUCCAGACUCCUACGGGAGGCAGCAGUGGGGAAUAUUGGACAAUGGGCGCAAGCCUGAUCCAGCCAUACCGCGUGGGUGAAGAAGGCCUUCGGGUUGUAAAGCCCUUUUGUUGGGAAAGAAAAGCAGCAGGUUAAUACCCCGCUGUUCUGACGGUACCCAAAGAAUAAGCACCGGCUAACUUCGUG